GACGAACGCUGGCGGCGUGCUUAACACAUGCAAGUCGAACGGAAAGGCCCUGCUUGCAGGGUACUCGAGUGGCGAACGGGAGAGUAACACGUGGGUGAUCUGCCCUGCACUUCGGGAUAAGCCUGGGAAACUGGGUCUAAUACCGGAUAGGAGCCAUUUUUAGUGUGAUGGUUGGAAAGUUUUUUCGGUGUAGGAUGAGCUCGCGGCCUAUCAGCUUGUUGGUGGGGUAAUGGCCUACCAAGGCGGCGACGGGUAGCCGGCCUGAGAGGGUGGACGGCCACAUUGGGACUGAGAUACGGCCCAGACUCCUACGUGAGGCAGCAGUGGGGAAUAUUGCACAAUGGGCGCAAGCCUGAUGCAGCGACGCCGCGUGGGGGAUGACGGCCUUCGGGUUGUAAACUCCUUUCGCUAGGGACGAAGCUUUUUGUGACGGUACCUAGAUAAGAAGCACCGGCUAACUACGUG
Molecule: ribosomal RNA, 465 nt
Filed under: uncultured bacterium
Lineage: Bacteria
Description: partial 16S ribosomal RNA
Rfam family: Bacterial small subunit ribosomal RNA
Source: RNAcentral